Molecule: long non-coding RNA, 2428 nt
Filed under: Heterocephalus glaber (naked mole-rat)
Lineage: Eukaryota; Metazoa; Chordata; Mammalia; Rodentia; Bathyergidae
Description: lncRNA (ENSHGLG00000047367.1)
Source: RNAcentral
GGGAGCAGAGUUGAAGUUACAAUUGAGAUUAGAGAAUUGGGGCCCUGUGAAGGGCACCCGGGCUAUUUUUCCUGCCCUGCGUUACACAGCUAGGAGGAGGUGAGCAGGGCAGUAUCAAGGCCUGGUCUGUGUUGCUCCAAGGAGCAUGAAAAGGACAGAGGGCCUGGUGUAGGAAGCGUGGUUUCCACAGGAUCCUUGCUGCCUUCAGAUUCCUCCCGGCAGCCAGGGAGCUGGGUAAGGCGGAGGCUAUUCAGCUGCCAUCUGUCCUCCUGGCUCCAGUGCCUGGCAACUGGCUGCCCGGGUCUGCUCUCUGCUCUGGAGGAGGAGGCAUUCCUCCACGGCCCAUCAGGCAGGAUGAGGAGCUGUGCCCUCGCCAGGGCCGCACCACAUGAUGGAUUCGAUGAUUAUGCCUUUCUGAUGUGGGGGCUGCUCAGUCGUGUAGCAGAACCAGUCCCAUCUGCUGUGUUUCUUCAAAGAGCUGCUGGAAGGAAAUAUCUGCACUCUGCUCAUGCUGGGGCUGGAGGUGGAAAGGAGGAUGGAAGUGAGGCCAGAUGGACAUAAAGACCGUGGGUCCAGCUCAGGGCAGCAGCUCCUAUUUGUGGAAGUGAUGCAAACGACAGGCCCUUCUCUGCGCCAUUUGCCCCCCUUGGCAUCCCUUACUGGAAGACAUGGCUGCCGCCUGCUGUGGCCCUCUGCCCGAGGUUUUUCCCUUGAAGAGGCUUCCUGUGCCUGAAGCUGCCCUGCGACAAGCAGUAGAGAGUUUAUAGCAGCUUUCGCCACCACUCCCCCUUCUCAGAAGAGAGACAAAGAGGAGGCAGUGGGUGAUCUGGGGGCUCUUGGAGCCGGUGGAAGUUGGAAGUCCCUACGUGGAGCUCUCCUUGACCAGGAUGAUGAGGACCAUCCUGCCUGUCCCCCCGGAUGGUUAAAUCUGUGGAUGUGAGACCCACAGAUACAGAGUGCAGAGUGCACCAACGUGAUGCGGUCUGACUAUGUUGCCCAGGCUGGUCUCAAACUCCCAGGAUCAAGGAAUCCUCCUGCCCCAGCCUUCCCAGCACCUGGGACUACAGGCACAUCCACCAAGCCAGCCUCUGUGGGGAUAUCUUUCCUGAAGUCAUCUGUGCCCUGCAAUCCAGCUGAGUGCUUCUCUGGGACAGCUGUACAGCUCCCAUCCUGAGAGCUCCCUUUGCACUCAGGGACCAACAAGCGCCUUUAUGUUUCUCCUUUGUUGCAAUCCUUCUGUCCUGGACCAUGGUUUUUUUCUCCUUCUUAAUUGGCUUCCUCCUUGUAGUGAAGCAUAAUUUUCAAGAGAUACUUGAGGAAGGGCCUAUAGGAGAUACACAAACUGAAAACCUGCACUGGGGAAAAUGUCUGUAGUCCAACUGCCCUUUGGUGGAUAGUUUUGUGGUACACAAUCUUAGAAAACUAUGGGGGCGGGGAUUUAGCUCAUUGGUUUUGCCGCCUGCCACGCAAGCGCAAGGGCCAGAGUUCGAUCCCCACUACCAAAAAAACCCAAAAAACCAGAAAACUAUGUCCCUCAGGAUUUAGCAUAUAUUGAUCUAUUGUCUUCCAGCUUCCACUCUUAUGGAUAAAAAACUUAAGUCUGUUUUGAUUUCCUUUUCUUUGCAAAUGACCUGUUUUGUUCUCUCUAGAAGCUUGAAGUCCUUUUGCUCUUUUUUUUUUCUUUCUUUUCUUUUAAUCACUAGUGUUUUGAAAUUUCACAAAGAUGUGGCUUUGUAGGAUCCUUUCCUGUUCAUUGUUAUGGAUGAUCUCAAGGAUAUCUUUUCUCAUUAGGUUUUUUUUUUUGAAACACAAUCUCACAAUAUAGCUCAGGAUACCCUUCAACUCACUAUGUAGCCCAGACUCGCCUCAAAUUCAUAGUGAUCCUUCUGCCUCAGCCUCCCAGUUCUGGGAUCAUAGGCAUGUGCCACUAGGAAAUUUUCUAGUAUUCAUUCUUUGCUUAUUUUUCCCCCUCCAUAGUCUCCUGACUCCCCCUCCUUUUCAUUCUCCUCUUCCUUUUCUGCUUCCUCUUAUUCCUUCCCUUCUUCAUCUUCAUUUUUCUCUUCCUCUUCCUUCCCCUUCCUCUCUUUGGUCUCCUUCCUCUUUCUCUUCUGCUUCUUUUUUUGAGAUGGAAACCUCACUGUGCUGCCCAGGCUGGCCUAGAUUUGCAAUCCUCCUGCCUGAAUAUCCCAAGUAGCUGGGUCACAGACAUGUUCCACUUCAAUGGCUCUGCUCUUAUUUAUCUGAUAAUCCUAUUAGUUAUGUGUUGAAACUGUACAACUGGUCUCUGAAUUUUCUUUUUUUCUCUCCCUUUUCCCUACUCUUUGUCUUUUUGUUCUAUUUUAUGAGAGAUGGGCAUAACUUUAUCUUCAACCAUCAUAUUGAAUUUAAGCAAGCAUUCUUUUCAAUUAUUUUUUACUCUUAAAAUCAC